GGGGGUUCACAGGAAGAGGCUUUUAAAAUGAGAGAUCUACUCGACUUCGGCAGCGGCGACGGGAGAGAAAAACUCGAAAUGGAUCGAGUGAUGACUGGCCAUCCCACGGUAUUCCCGAAGCGAGAUCCUCGGGAAGGCGACGCAACUCGACACAAAUCAAAAAGCUACGGACAAGACCUACUUGGUUCGGGGGAAGCACUGCAAGGACGGCGCUUGACGAACGGACUCUGGCGACGGUCGACCACCCUCUCGCGCUCCCUCACUAUCUGGUUCUCUCCCCCUCACUCGCUUAAACCCUCCCCAGCUCUUCCAAUUUCUCUCCCUCUGUAGCUCGAAC
RNAcentral lists this long non-coding RNA (337 nucleotides) under Eucalyptus grandis. Its description in RNAcentral is "long non-coding RNA (EGRA_LNC002774)". The record is from RNAcentral. Lineage: Eukaryota; Viridiplantae; Streptophyta; Magnoliopsida; Myrtales; Myrtaceae.